CAGGUCAGAAAUUUGGGAUAUUAAAUGUAACUGAUGACCUUUGAGAAAGACAUAUUGGACAGAAAUGGCAUGAGGGAGAGGUAACUCUCAUGAUUGACAUGUUUCUCCAAACUGAAAAUUAAAUUAAAGAAUAGAAGAUGAAGCCAGGCAAGUGCCACUGAAAGGUUCUGCUUAUAUAGGUAGAGAUGAACUUCCUUGUGUGGAUCCUCAGGUGUGUGCCAUGUACUCUCCAAGAACUGGGAGGAGCAAGUUAGCCAAGACGGUGUGAUCAGGCCCUCUUGCCUCACGUUUUGUAAACAAUGAUUAUGUAACAGCUGAGCUCAUUUAUAGCACUGCACAUGCGCGCCACGAGGUACUCACUUGGUCACGGGCUACUUUGUGCGGUGCGCCUGUAUAAGCGCCAUCUGAGACGGCCUUGAGGGUGUGUUAUGGCUACAUUAUGGCUGUGUCUGGUGGGUGAACAUGAGAGGAGAGAAUACAGCAUGUCUACUGUUAUGGCCGCUGCGCCAGCCAGGAGAGAAGAAACGCGUCUACUGUUCCUACGGCUCCUUGCGUGUUCUUCCAGCUCCCCUGCUCACACCGUGCCUACCCUGGGUUCAGCGAACACUGUGAACAGCGCCACGCUGUGCUGCCAAACUUCCCAAUGAUACAUAGAAAGAGUUCCUCUCCUCCAGAUUGCAGUAACAUUUUCCUUACUAUCCUUUGAGCAAUCAUUAAAAGGCUCUUCGAAGCACUCUAGGCUAACUGUCCUCAAAUCCAUCCAGCUUUUGCUUGGUCCCAAAGUCAGUACCACAUAGUUUAUGUUUUUGGUAUGAACAUCUUCACUUACAGGCUUUAAAUUUUGUUCUCUGUAUCUAUUACUGCA
Long non-coding RNA from Odocoileus virginianus texanus, 865 nucleotides. RefSeq lists it as uncharacterized. NCBI's taxonomy places the organism in Eukaryota, Metazoa, Chordata, Mammalia, Artiodactyla, Cervidae. The record is from RefSeq and is a predicted model, not a curated record.